AAGUCGUAACAAGGUUUCCGUAGGUGAACCUGCGGAAGGAUCAUUAACGAAUGAAGUUGGGUGAGGUUGUCGCUGGCCUUCGGGCAUGUGCACGCCUUGCUCAUUCCAACCUUCUAUACCUCUGUGCACUUCUCAUGGGUUCAGAUUUGAUGUGUUGCCUCCGGGCUUCAUUGAUGUCUGGCCUGUGUGCUUUUACACAUACACAUGUUUGUCAUAGAAUGUCUACUGUGCGUGAAUGCAUAUAAUACAACUUUCAGCAACGGAUCUCUUGGCUCUC
This 277-nucleotide unclassified non-coding RNA is filed under the name air metagenome. RNAcentral's name for it is "partial contains small subunit ribosomal RNA, internal transcribed spacer 1, and 5.8S ribosomal RNA". The stretch from base 1 to 46 matches the Rfam family "Eukaryotic small subunit ribosomal RNA", at positions 1786 to 1831 of the family's 1831-position model. The record is from RNAcentral.